UUGCGACCCMGGUCACGCGGGAACACCCGCUGAGUGCGGCGG
Molecule: ribosomal RNA, 42 nt
Filed under: Didymocarpus pseudomengtze
Lineage: Eukaryota; Viridiplantae; Streptophyta; Magnoliopsida; Lamiales; Gesneriaceae
Description: partial 28S ribosomal RNA
Source: RNAcentral